This 89-nucleotide non-coding RNA is filed under the name unclassified sequences. The record is from RNAcentral.
AUAUAUUUGCCACCGGGCAACGCGAUGCAAAAGCAUCCGAUUACACGUCGUUAGGUCCUAGAAGAUGUGUAACCGGGUGCUUUCUGUAU